AAUCACUUGUCUUUUAAAUGAAGACCCGUAUGAAUGGCAAAACGAGGGCUUAACUAGUCUCCUUAGUCCAGUCAAUGAAAUUAACCUUCCCGUGCAGAGGCGGAAAUACCACCAUAAGACGAGAAGACCCUAUGGAGCUUUAGACACCAGACCGACCAUGUUAAACACCCUAACAUAAAACCAUGAACUUAGUGGCCACCGUCUUUAUGUCUUCGGUUGGGGCGACCAUGGGGAAAAAUAUAACCCCCACGUGGACUGAGAGCAAAAACCUACCCUCCACUCCCAAAACCAAGAGAAACCACUCAAACAAGCAGAACCUCUGACCUUAAAUGAUCCGGUAAUACCGAUCAACGAAACAAGUUACCCUAGGGAUAACAGCGCAAUCCUCUUUAAGAGCCCAUAUCGACAAGAGGGUUUACGACCUCGAUGUUGGAUCAGGACAUCCUAAUGGUGCAGCAGCUAUUAAGGGUUCGUUUGUUCAACGAUUAA
This 489-nucleotide ribosomal RNA is filed under the name Brachirus orientalis (oriental sole). RNAcentral describes it as "partial 16S ribosomal RNA". It matches the Rfam family "Bacterial large subunit ribosomal RNA", at positions 1963 to 2591 of the family's 2925-position model. The record is from RNAcentral. Lineage: Eukaryota; Metazoa; Chordata; Actinopteri; Pleuronectiformes; Soleidae.